This is a long non-coding RNA of Helianthus annuus (common sunflower), 1646 nucleotides long. RefSeq lists it as uncharacterized. The transcript is spliced from 3 exons. The record is from RefSeq and is a predicted model, not a curated record. Lineage: Eukaryota; Viridiplantae; Streptophyta; Magnoliopsida; Asterales; Asteraceae.
CUCAAUUUUUGAAACCCUAGCCUCCCUCACAUUCAUCGCUCUACUGGAUUCAUCAUCUUCUCCAAACAAUUCAACAAAUAGGUACACUCCUUGACAAACCCUAGAUAUCAACACGUCUGUUCUUCUUCUACGUUGAUUCAUCAUCCAUUAUUUAUCGAACCCAACGAUGGCAACGAAGUCUUCCGUAUAUGUGAAGGCCGUAAUCAACGAUGGUGAUGGCGGCGCUGAGUGUUACGUCGCUGAACCCUAAAUCACUAACGAAGUUUCAAGUUGGUGUUUUUGUUUCAGAUGAGUAAUCCGAUCGGCAAUUUACCUUUGGUUGUUUAAUAACACUCUUACCCUUUUUCGUUUUGUUAUCUACUUAUCUCCGGUUAUUUUAUUUGUGUCUCUGGCUUUGUUAACAGGGUUAGCGACGAUGGCGUUUUAGCUUCCGGUAGGUUUUCUGGUCAUCCAUUUACCUUCGAUUAGGUAACACUUUUUCCUUCUUUUAUUUUGUUAUUAGGCGCUGCUGCAUGAAAAAGUUGAAUGUUAUACUACAUUUGGUUAAGUGCAUACGCACUUACUUCCGAUAUUGAAAAAGUGGAAAAAGUUCUUAAAAUAUGGAAAGCAAUUCUAUUAAAAUAUGGAAAGCAAUUCUAACCUUGGAAUCGAUUGGAAUGCUUGUGUUAUUGCAUCUGGUCGGUAUAUUAAAUCUGGGUUGCCAGAUAAAGCUUUUGAAAUGCUGAAAACAUCAGAAGAAUAUAAACAUGGAAACUCGAAAGGGGCAGCUUGGGAAAAUCUCAUUAGUACCUAUGCUUCUAUUGGUAAAAAAGACCUAUGCUUUAUAUGACACCCAUUGCUUCAUGGUUCAAUCUUCUAUCAGGUCUGAUUUCAAUCUUUCAACCCUAUUAGUGUAUUCAGAUUGCGUGUUGUUAGUGUAUUCAGUUUUGCACUACGCUGGAUAACUACUGAUGUUUCUUACCGUGUGUCAUUGAAACGUGUUCUUCAUCAAGUAUGUUUUUUUAUUUUGAUAAAAUAGGCACAUGGUUUGCUUUUUUUUUUUCAUUUAACAUUAGUAAUUACCUUAUUUGGCAUGAUUAACCCAAUUAUACAAAUUGUUGAAAAUCUAUGGUUCUAAUGAACUGAAUAUAGCUUAAAAAUGACAGAUAUGUUUGGGUUUUGUGAGCUAUCCUUUAGUAGUUGCCGAACAAAUUUGGAUAAUAAACAUGUCAUUGUCAAGUUGUUUCUGCAAUUUUUGUUAUUCAUCAAGGAGUCAAAUAUGAUUACCAAAAUUUCUGUUUACCAAUAUUUGUAUAACAUUUCAUUUAGAUACUAUUACUAAGGUGUUUAUUUUUUUGUUUCUUUUUGGGAAGGCAUCGAUUACGCCAAAUGCAGAAUAUAAGCUUCCAGCUCAACUAAACCAGAGAUAUGUUAAAGGUAUUCUGAAAGAGGCAUUUAGAAUAAACUUUCCGGUUAAGUGGGUACACUCCACAUCAACCAUGAAUUAAGAAAUUAUUGUUUUUAAGCACUUUUUCUCUGGGAAUUAAUGGCAAGGCAUUUGUUUAGUGAUUUCCAUACUUAUCUAUAUCUUCUGAGGAAAGUAUAUUUAUUGUUGCUUUUGGAUGAUGAUGCUUUUGUUUUGCAUGUAAUGUUUCUUAGUCACUAAA